Molecule: ribosomal RNA, 1484 nt
Filed under: Staphylococcus aureus
Lineage: Bacteria; Bacillati; Bacillota; Bacilli; Caryophanales; Staphylococcaceae
Description: partial 16S ribosomal RNA
Rfam family: Bacterial small subunit ribosomal RNA
Source: RNAcentral
CAGGAUGAACGCUGGCGGCGUGCCUAAUACAUGCAAGUCGAGCGAACGGACGAGAAGCUUGCUUCUCUGAUGUUAGCGGCGGACGGGUGAGUAACACGUGGAUAACCUACCUAUAAGACUGGGAUAACUUCGGGAAACCGGAGCUAAUACCGGAUAAUAUUUUGAACCGCAUGGUUCAAAAGUGAAAGACGGUCUUGCUGUCACUUAUAGAUGGAUCCGCGCUGCAUUAGCUAGUUGGUAAGGUAACGGCUUACCAAGGCAACGAUGCAUAGCCGACCUGAGAGGGUGAUCGGCCACACUGGAACUGAGACACGGUCCAGACUCCUACGGGAGGCAGCAGUAGGGAAUCUUCCGCAAUGGGCGAAAGCCUGACGGAGCAACGCCGCGUGAGUGAUGAAGGUCUUCGGAUCGUAAAACUCUGUUAUUAGGGAAGAACAUAUGUGUAAGUAACUGUGCACAUCUUGACGGUACCUAAUCAGAAAGCCACGGCUAACUACGUGCCAGCAGCCGCGGUAAUACGUAGGUGGCAAGCGUUAUCCGGAAUUAUUGGGCGUAAAGCGCGCGUAGGCGGUUUUUUAAGUCUGAUGUGAAAGCCCACGGCUCAACCGUGGAGGGUCAUUGGAAACUGGAAAACUUGAGUGCAGAAGAGGAAAGUGGAAUUCCAUGUGUAGCGGUGAAAUGCGCAGAGAUAUGGAGGAACACCAGUGGCGAAGGCGACUUUCUGGUCUGUAACUGACGCUGAUGUGCGAAAGCGUGGGGAUCAAACAGGAUUAGAUACCCUGGUAGUCCACGCCGUAAACGAUGAGUGCUAAGUGUUAGGGGGUUUCCGCCCCUUAGUGCUGCAGCUAACGCAUUAAGCACUCCGCCUGGGGAGUACGACCGCAAGGUUGAAACUCAAAGGAAUUGACGGGGACCCGCACAAGCGGUGGAGCAUGUGGUUUAAUUCGAAGCAACGCGAAGAACCUUACCAAAUCUUGACAUCCUUUGACAACUCUAGAGAUAGAGCUUUCCCCUUCGGGGGACAAAGUGACAGGUGGUGCAUGGUUGUCGUCAGCUCGUGUCGUGAGAUGUUGGGUUAAGUCCCGCAACGAGCGCAACCCUUAAGCUUAGUUGCCAUCAUUAAGUUGGGCACUCUAAGUUGACUGCCGGUGACAAACCGGAGGAAGGUGGGGAUGACGUCAAAUCAUCAUGCCCCUUAUGAUUUGGGCUACACACGUGCUACAAUGGACAAUACAAAGGGCAGCGAAACCGCGAGGUCAAGCAAAUCCCAUAAAGUUGUUCUCAGUUCGGAUUGUAGUCUGCAACUCGACUACAUGAAGCUGGAAUCGCUAGUAAUCGUAGAUCAGCAUGCUACGGUGAAUACGUUCCCGGGUCUUGUACACACCGCCCGUCACACCACGAGAGUUUGUAACACCCGAAGCCGGUGGAGUAACCUUUUAGGAGCUAGCCGUCGAAGGUGGGACAAAUGAUUGGGGUGAAGUCGU